CGAGCGGCGGACGGGUGAGUAAUGUCUGGGAAACUGCCUGAUGGAGGGGGAUAACUACUGGAAACGGUAGCUAAUACCGCAUAACGUCGCAAGACCAAAGAGGGGGACCUUCGGGCCUCUUGCCAUCAGAUGUGCCCAGAUGGGAUUAGCUAGUAGGUGGGGUAACGGCUCACCUAGGCGACGAUCCCUAGCUGGUCUGAGAGGAUGACCAGCCACACUGGAACUGAGACACGGUCCAGACUCCUACGGGAGGCAGCAGUGGGGAAUAUUGCACAAUGGGCGCAAGCCUGAUGCAGCCAUGCCGCGUGUAUGAAGAAGGCCUUCGGGUUGUAAAGUACUUUCAGCGGGGAGGAAGGCGUUGAGGUUAAUAACCUCAGCGAUUGACGUUACCCGCAGAAGAAGCACCGGCUAACUCCGUGCCAGCAGCCGCGGUAAUACGGAGGGUGCAAGCGUUAAUCGGAAUUACUGGGCGUAAAGCGCACGCAGGCGGUCUGUCAAGUCGGAUGUGAAAUCCCCGGGCUCAACCUGGGAACUGCAUUCGAAACUGGCAGGCUAGAGUCUUGUAGAGGGGGGUAGAAUUCCAGGUGUAGCGGUGAAAUGCGUAGAGAUCUGGAGGAAUACCGGUGGCGAACGCGGCCCCCUGGACAAAGACUGACGCUCACGUGCGAAAGCGUGGGGAGCAAACAAGAUUAGAUACCCUGGUAGUCCACGCCGUACACGAUGUCGACGUGGGAGGUUGUGCCCUUGAGGCGUGCCUUCCCGGAGCUAACGCGUUAACUCGACCGCCUGGGGGAGUACGGCCGCAAGGUUAAAACUCAAAUGAAAUUGACGGGGGCCCGCCACAGCGGUGGGAGCAUGUGGUUUAUUCGAUGCAACGCGCAGUACUUUACCUACUCUUGACAUCCAGAGACUUACAGAGAUGCUUUG
RNAcentral lists this ribosomal RNA (927 nucleotides) under Enterobacter sp. RNAcentral's name for it is "bacterial SSU rRNA". It matches the Rfam family "Bacterial small subunit ribosomal RNA", at positions 92 to 1013 of the family's 1533-position model. Lineage: Bacteria; Pseudomonadati; Pseudomonadota; Gammaproteobacteria; Enterobacterales; Enterobacteriaceae. The record is from RNAcentral.